UAUCCAGUCAUCUGCUGAUGGACAUUUAGGUUGUUUCCAUGUCUUGGCUAUAGUCCAUAGUGCUGCUAUGAACAUUGGCAUUGCAUGUAUCUUUUUGAAUUAAAAGCUCAUACGAAUCCUUCUCAAGCUCUUUCAAAAGACUGAGGAGGAGAGAAUACUCUUAAACUCAUUCUAUGAAGCCACAAUCACCCUGAUACCAAAACCAGAAAAAGACACUACCAAAAAAGAAAAUUACAGGCCAAUAUCAUUGAUGAACGUAGAUGCAGAAAUCCUCAACAACAUAUUAGCAAAUAGAAUCCAACAACACAUAAAAAAGAGCAUAUACCAUGAUAAAGUUGCAUUCAUACCAGGGACACACCAAUGGUUUAACAUGCAAAUCAAUCAAUGUGAUA
Non-coding RNA from Vicugna pacos (alpaca), 392 nucleotides. The record is from RefSeq and is a predicted model, not a curated record. Lineage: Eukaryota; Metazoa; Chordata; Mammalia; Artiodactyla; Camelidae.